This 464-nucleotide ribosomal RNA is filed under the name uncultured bacterium. Its description in RNAcentral is "partial 16S ribosomal RNA". It matches the Rfam family "Bacterial small subunit ribosomal RNA", at positions 339 to 795 of the family's 1533-position model. The record is from RNAcentral.
CUACGGGCUGCACCAGUGGGGAAUAUUGCACAAUGGGCGCAAGCCUGAUGCAGCCAUGCCGCGUGUAUGAAGAAGGCCUUCGGGUUGUAAAGUACUUUCAGCGGGGAGGAAGGGAGUAAAGUUAAUACCUUUGCUCAUUGACGUUACCCGCAGAAGAAGCACCGGCUAACUCCGUGCCAGCAGCCGCGGUAAUACGGAGGGUGCAAGCGUUAAUCGGAAUUACUGGGCGUAAAGCGCACGCAGGCGGUUUGUUAAGUCAGAUGUGAAAUCCCCGGGCUCAACCUGGGAACUGCAUCUGAUACUGGCAAGCUUGAGUCUCGUAGAGGGGGGUAGAAUUCCAGGUGUAGCGGUGAAAUGCGUAGAGAUCUGGAGGAAUACCGGUGGCGAAGGCAGCCCCCUGGACGAAGACUGACGCUCAGGUGCGAAAGCGUGGGGAGCAAACAGGAUUAGAUACCCUUGUAGUC